GACGAACGCUGGCGGCGUGCUUAACACAUGCAAGUCGAACGGAAAGGCCUCAGCUUGCUGGGGUACUCGAGUGGCGAACGGGUGAGUAACACGUGGGUGAUCUGCCUUGCACUCUGGGAUAAGCUUGGGAAACUGGGUCUAAUACCGGAUAUGAACUGCCUUUAGUGUGGUGAUUGGAAAGUUUUUUCGGUGCAAGAUGAGCUCGCGGCCUAUCAGCUUGUUGGUGGGGUAAUGGCCUACCAAGGCGUCGACGGGUAGCCGGCCUGAGAGGGUGUACGGCCACAUUGGGACUGAGAUACGGCCCAGACUCCUACGGGAGGCAGCAGUGGGGAAUAUUGCACAAUGGGCGGAAGCCUGAUGCAGCGACGCCGCGUGGGGGAUGACGGCCUUCGGGUUGUAAACUCCUUUCGACAGGGACGAAGCUUUUUGUGACGGUACCUGUAUAAGAAGCACCGGCUAACUACGUG
Molecule: ribosomal RNA, 467 nt
Filed under: uncultured bacterium
Lineage: Bacteria
Description: partial 16S ribosomal RNA
Rfam family: Bacterial small subunit ribosomal RNA
Source: RNAcentral